CUCCAUCACCUGUGAAAAUAAGAACAAACCCUUGCUCCCAGGAAAAGAAGUUCCUACUACCCAGGCCUGGGUUUGGUUCCUGAGAUGGUCCUGGUGCCUGAAAAUCCAAGUUCUCCAAGCUUCAGGCAGCUGUGAUGUGUGCAUUCAUUGAAUCAGAACCUAAUCCUCUUCGUAUUGUCCUGACAAGCAACAAGCAACAGGCAACAGGCAUUUGUUAAGUGCUGUUCCAAGCACUGUGUUCGGCACUUAGUAAUAAAA
Molecule: long non-coding RNA, 258 nt
Organism: Phascolarctos cinereus (koala)
Lineage: Eukaryota; Metazoa; Chordata; Mammalia; Diprotodontia; Phascolarctidae
Source: RefSeq, a predicted model, not a curated record